RNAcentral lists this transfer RNA (74 nucleotides) under Xenodermichthys copei (bluntnose smooth-head). RNAcentral describes it as "tRNA-Leu (UUR)". It matches the Rfam family "tRNA". From Rfam's summary of the family: Transfer RNA (tRNA) molecules are approximately 80 nucleotides in length. Their secondary structure includes four short double-helical elements and three loops (D, anti-codon, and T loops). Lineage: Eukaryota; Metazoa; Chordata; Actinopteri; Alepocephaliformes; Alepocephalidae. The record is from RNAcentral.
ACUGGGGUGGCAAAGUCCGGUAAAUGCAAAAGGCCUAAGCCCUUUCAUCAGAGGUUCAAAUCCCCUCCCCAGCC